RNAcentral lists this long non-coding RNA (253 nucleotides) under Homo sapiens (human). RNAcentral's name for it is "HSALNT0087616". Lineage: Eukaryota; Metazoa; Chordata; Mammalia; Primates; Hominidae. The record is from RNAcentral.
UGUCUCACCUGGGAAACACCAGAGGCCAGGGUUCUCUAGAAGGACAGAACUACUAGGACAGAUGUAUACAUGAAGGGGAGUUUAUUAAGGAGUAUUGACUCACAAGAUCACAAGGUGAAGUCCCGUAACAGACUGCCUGCAAGCUGAGAGCAAGGAAGCCAGUCCGAGUCCCAAAACCUCAAAAGUAGGGAAGCUGACAGUUCAGCCUUCAGUCUGUGGCCAAAGGCUAGAGAACCCAGGCAAACUACUGGUG